AGCGACUGUGCAGGUUACCGCGGCUGCUGGCACGGAGUUAGCCGGUGCUUCUUCUGUGAGUGAUGUCCUUCCUGCCGGUUAUUGACCCGCAGGCCUUCUUCCUCACUGAAAGUGCUUUACAACCCGAAGGCCUUCUUCACACACGCGGCAUGGCUGGAUCAGGGUUGCCCCCAUUGUCCAAUAUUCCCCACUGCUGCCUCCCGUAGGAGUCUGGGCCGUGUCUCAGUCCCAGUGUGGCUGAUCAUCCUCUCAGACCAGCUACGGAUCGUCGCCUUGGUGAGCCGUUACCUCACCAACCAGCUAAUCCGACAUAGGCUCAUCCGAUAGCGCGAGGCCCGAAGGUCCCCCGNUUUCCCCCGUAGGGCGUAUGCGGUAUUAGCCUGGGUUUCCCCAGGUUAUCCCCCACUACCGGGCAGAUUCCUAUGCAUUACUCACCCGUCCGCCGCUCGCCACCAGGGAGCAAGCUCCCCGUGCUGCCGCUCGACUUGCAUGUGUUAGGCCUGCCGCCAGCGUUCAAU
Molecule: ribosomal RNA, 518 nt
Filed under: uncultured bacterium
Lineage: Bacteria
Description: partial 16S ribosomal RNA
Source: RNAcentral